This 493-nucleotide ribosomal RNA is filed under the name uncultured bacterium. RNAcentral describes it as "bacterial SSU rRNA". It matches the Rfam family "Bacterial small subunit ribosomal RNA", at positions 29 to 518 of the family's 1533-position model. The record is from RNAcentral.
AACGAACGCUGGCGGCAGGCUUAACACAUGCAAGUCGAGCGAAGACUUCGGUCUUAGCGGCGGACGGGUGAGUAACGCGUGGGUAACCUGCCCUAAAGUGGGGGAUAACAUUUGGAAACAGAUGCUAAUACCGCAUAAAUCUUGGAACCUCAUGGUUCCAAGCUGAAAGAUGGCGUAAGCUAUCGCUUUUGGAUGGACCCGCGGCGUAUUAGCUAGUUGGUGAGGUAAAGGCUCACCAAGGCGAUGAUACGUAGCCGACCUGAGAGGGUGAUCGGCCACAUUGGGACUGAGACACGGCCCAAACUCCUACGGGAGGCAGCAGUAGGGAAUCUUCCACAAUGGACGAAAGUCUGAUGGAGCAACGCCGCGUGAGUGAAGAAGGUUUUCGGAUCGUAAAACUCUGUUGUUGGAGAAGAACGUACGUGAGAGUAACUGUUCACGUAGUGACGGUAUCCAACCAGAAAGCCACGGCUAACUACGUGCCAGCCGCCGC